GCGGUGGUGGUGGAACUGGUAGACACGCAAGUUUGAGGGGCUUGUGGCCGCAAGGUCGUAGGGGUUCAAGUCCCCUCUACCGCA
This 84-nucleotide transfer RNA is filed under the name Candidatus Cloacimonadota bacterium. RNAcentral describes it as "Candidatus Cloacimonetes bacterium (wastewater metagenome) tRNA-Leu". It matches the Rfam family "tRNA". Rfam says of the family: Transfer RNA (tRNA) molecules are approximately 80 nucleotides in length. Their secondary structure includes four short double-helical elements and three loops (D, anti-codon, and T loops). Lineage: Bacteria; Pseudomonadati; Candidatus Cloacimonadota. The record is from RNAcentral.